Molecule: ribosomal RNA, 1670 nt
Filed under: Begonia fuchsioides
Lineage: Eukaryota; Viridiplantae; Streptophyta; Magnoliopsida; Cucurbitales; Begoniaceae
Description: SSU rRNA
Rfam family: Eukaryotic small subunit ribosomal RNA
Source: RNAcentral
CCUGGUUGAUCCUGCCAGUAGUCAUAUGCUUGUCUCAAAGAUUAAGCCAUGCAUGUGUAAGUAUGAACUAAUUCAAACUGUGAAACUGUGAAUGACUCAUUAAAUCAGUUAUAGUUUGUUUGAUGGUACUUGCUACUCGGAUAACCGUAGUAAUUAUAGAGCUAAUAUGUGCAACACCCCGACUUCUGGAAGGGACACAUUUAUUAGAUAAAAGGUCGACGCGGACCUAGUCUCUUGCUCUGAUUAUUCAUGAUAACUUGACAGAUCGCACUGCCUUUGUGUUGGCGACGCAUCAUUCAAAUUUUUGCCCUAUCAACUUUUGAUGGUAGGAUAGUGGCCUACUAUGGAGGUGAUGGGUGACGGAGAAUUAGGGUUCGAUUCCGGAGAGGGAGCCUGAGAAACGGCUACCACAUCCAAGGAAGGCACCAGGCGCGCAAAUUACCCAAUCGCGACACGGGGAGGUAGUGACAAUAAAUAACAAUAUCGGGCUCUUUGAGUCUAGUUAUUGGAAUGAGUACAAUCUAAAUCCCUUAACGAGGAUCCAUUGGAGGACAAGUCUUGUGCCAGCAGCCGCGAUAAUUCCAGCUCCAAUAGUGUAUAUUUAAGUUGUUGCAGUUCAAAAGCUUGUAGUUGGACUCGGGAUAUGUUUUUCGGUCCACCUUAUGGUGUGCACCGUCAGUCGCGUCCUUUCUGCCAGUGAUGCGUUCCUGGCCUUAAUUGGUCGGGUCGUUCCUCUGGCGCUGUUACUUUGAAGAAAUUAGAGUGCUCAAAGCAAGCCUUCGCUUUGUAAACAUUAGCAUGGGAUAACGUCAUAGGAUUUUGAUCUUAUUCUGUUGGCCUUCGGGAUCAGAGUAAUGAUUAAUAGGGACAGUCGGGGGCAUUCGUAUUUCAUAGUCAUAGGUGAAAUUCUUAGAUUUAUCAAAGACGAACAACUGCGAAAGCAUUUGCCAAGGAUGUUUUCACUAAUCAAGAACAAAAUUUGGGGGCUCAAAGACGAUCAGAUACCAUCCUAGUCUCAACCAUAAGCGAUGCCGACUAGGGAUCGGCGAAUGUUGCUUAUAGGACAUCGCCGGCACCUUCUGAGAAAUCAAAGUCUUUGGGUUCCGGGGGUAGUCUAGUCGCAAGGCUGAAACUUAAAGGAAUUGACGGAAGGGCACCACCAGGAGUGGAGCCUGUAGCUUAAUUUGACUCAACACGGAGAAACUUACCAGGUCCAGACAUAGUAAGGAUUGACAGACUGAGUGCUCUUUCUUUUUUUUGUUAAGUAAAGUAUAUUUACGAGCACAUUUACAUGUGAAAGUACAAAAGGCAGUGGAAAUAGAAGGCAAAUGCCGACAGACCGUGCCCACCAGGACCCAAAAAAAUUAGCCCCUAAGGAUUGAUCUCAGAAUGUCUACAAAUCGAGACCCACAGACAUAAGGAGAUCAGCCUGGACACAAACAGUUUAACAAAAGCGGAUAACCUUAGCACAGAUCAAGGUUCCAACAAGGACAACUCAUCGGGAAAGAACCAAUAGAGUUGCUUGAACACCUGCUUCUCUAUCCACGUUGCAAUCUGUGCCGGGGAGGAGAAUGUAUUUUCAUGUUUCCGAUCAUUCCGGGCCACCCAAAUGUAAUAUAUCAAAGUCGCUAACAGCAUUUGCGAGACUCGAGCUUGAUGGCAGAGUUUAC